AAACGGAACUGUUUGUUGGUGACUCUAAAUAACUUUGUGUUGAUCGUAUGACCUUUGUGUCGACGACAUAUCUUUCAAGUGUCUGACUUAUCAACUUUUAGACGGUACAUUAUAUGUCUACCGUGGUUGUAACGAGUACAGAGAAUCAGGGUUUGGUUCUGGAGAGGCCGCCUGAGAAACGGCGACCACUUCCAAGGAAGGCAGCAGGCGCGCAAAUUACCCCACUCUCAAAACGAGGAGGUAGUGAAGAGAAAUAACGAUGUUAGUCUUCUAUAGGCUGACAAUCGGAAUGGGAACACUGUAAACAGGUUAUCGAUUAACAAUUGGAGGGCAAGUCUGGUGCCAGCAGCCGCGGUAAUUCCAGCUCCAAUAAGGAAAACUAAAGUUGCUGUGUUUAAAAAAGCUCGUAGUUGAAUUUCGGGUAUUUGUUGCUAGCUGGUCUCAUUGGUCCAUGUUGGUUAACUAGAUCCUCAUCUGCUGGACGUCUGGCGAUGAUCUUUAUCGGUUGUCGUCAGUUGCCAGCACGUUUU
Molecule: ribosomal RNA, 530 nt
Filed under: uncultured eukaryote
Lineage: Eukaryota
Description: SSU rRNA
Rfam family: Eukaryotic small subunit ribosomal RNA
Source: RNAcentral